UAACGGCGAGUGAAGCGGCAACAGCUCAAAUUUGAAAUCUGGUCCCCAGGGCCCGAGUUGUAAUUUGCAGAGGAUGCUUUUGGUGAGGUGCCUUCCGAGUUCCCUGGAACGGGACGCCAUAGAGGGUGAGAGCCCCGUCUGGUUGGAUACCGAGCCUCUGUAAAGCUCCUUCGACGAGUCGAGUAGUUUGGGAAUGCUGCUCUAAAUGGGAGGUAUAUGUCUUCUAAAGCUAAAUAUUGGCCAGAGACCGAUAGCGCACAAGUAGAGUGAUCGAAAGAUGAAAAGCACUUUGAAAAGAGGGUUAAAUAGUACGUGAAAUUGUUGAAAGGGAAGCACUUAUGACCAGACUUGGCCCCGGUGAAUCAUCCAGCGGUCCCCGCUGGUGCACUUUGCCGGGGUUCAGGCCAGCAUCAGUUCGCUCCGGGGGAUAAAGGCUUUGGGAAUGUGGCUCCCUCGGGAGUGUUAUAGCCCAUUGCGUAAUACCUUGUGGCGGGCUGAGGUUCGCGCUUUAUGCAAGGAUGCUGGCAUAAUGGUCAUCAGUGACCCGUCUUGAAACACGGACCAAGGAGUCGUCUUCGUAUGCGAGUGUUCGGGUGUUAAACCCCUACGCGUAAUGAAAGUGAACGCAGGUGAGAGCCCUCCAGGGCGCAUCAUCGACCGAUCCUGAUGUUCUCGGAUGGAUUUGAGUAAGAGCAUACGGGGCCGGACCCGAAAGAAGGUGAACUAUGCCUGUAUAGGGUGAAGCCAGAGGAAACUCUGGUGGAGGCUCGCAGCGGUUCUGACGUGCAAAUCGAUCGUCAAAUAUGGGCAUGGGGGCGAAAGACUA
Molecule: ribosomal RNA, 826 nt
Filed under: Metarhizium guizhouense
Lineage: Eukaryota; Fungi; Ascomycota; Sordariomycetes; Hypocreales; Clavicipitaceae
Description: LSU rRNA
Rfam family: Eukaryotic large subunit ribosomal RNA
Source: RNAcentral